RNAcentral lists this ribosomal RNA (449 nucleotides) under uncultured bacterium. Its description in RNAcentral is "partial 16S ribosomal RNA". It matches the Rfam family "Bacterial small subunit ribosomal RNA", at positions 29 to 523 of the family's 1533-position model. The record is from RNAcentral.
AGCGAACGCUGGCGGCAGGCCUAACACAUGCAAGUCGAACGGACCCUUCGGGGUUAGUGGCGGACGGGUGAGUAACACGUGGGAACGUGCCUUUAGGUUCGGAAUAGCUCCUGGAAACGGGUGGUAAUGCCGAAUGUGCCCUUCGGGGGAAAGAUUUAUCGCCUUUAGAGCGGCCCGCGUCUGAUUAGCUAGUUGGUGAGGUAAUGGCUCACCAAGGCGACGAUCAGUAGCUGGUCUGAGAGGAUGACCAGCCACACUGGGACUGAGACACGGCCCAGACUCCUUCGGGAGGCAGCAGUGGGGAAUCUUGCGCAAUGGGCGAAAGCUUGACGCAGCCAUGCCGCGUGAAUGAUGAAGGUCUUAGGAUUGUAAAAUUCUUUCACCGGGGACGAUAAUGACGGUACCCGGAGAAGAAGCCCCGGCUAACUUCGUGCCAGCCGCCGCAGUAA